CCCUUAGAUGUCCGGGGCCGCACGCGCGCUACACUGAAGGAAUCAGCGUGGCUUUCUCCCUGACCCGAAAGGGUUGGGAAACCCGUUGAAUCUCCUUCGUGAUAGGGAUUGGGGCUUGAAAUUGUUCCCCAUGAACGAGGAAUUCCCAGUAAGCGCGAGUCAUAAGCUCGCGUUGAUACGUCCCUGCCCUUUGUACACACCGCCCGUCGCUACUACCGAUUGAACGGUUUAGUGAGGGCCUCGGAUUGGUCUCGGCCCGCUCUUUACCGGGCGGCGCCGUUGGUCGAGAAGACGCUCGAACUUGAUCGUUUAGAGGAAGUAAAAGUCGUAACA
Molecule: ribosomal RNA, 333 nt
Filed under: uncultured eukaryote
Lineage: Eukaryota
Description: partial 18S ribosomal RNA
Rfam family: Eukaryotic small subunit ribosomal RNA
Source: RNAcentral